AGAUCCCGAGCCUCCUUCCCCACGGGAUGGACGCUAGAUCCCAGUCCCUUGGGAGGGCUCCCGUCCUUCUCUCAGAGCCUCCGCCCUCCACCCCCCUCUGAGGCACGCGGGCUGAAGAAAGUCCCUUCGUGGGCAACCCAGGGAAUAUCACAGGUGCCCGGGGACUCACGGGCACCCUUCGGUGUCAGCUCCAGGUUCAGGGAGAGCCCCCCGAGGUACACUGGCUUCGGGACGGACAGAUCCUGGAGCUCGCGGACAGCACCCAGACCCAGGUGCCCCUGGGUGAGGAUGAACAGGAUGACUGGAUAGUGGUCAGCCAGCUCAGAAUCACCUCCCUGCAGCUUUCCGACACGGGACAGUACCAGUGUUUGGUGUUUCUGGGACAUCAGACCUUCGUGUCCCAGCCUGGCUACGUUGGGCUGGAGGGCUUGCCUUACUUCCUGGAGGAGCCCGAGGACAGGACUGUGGCCGCCAACACCCCCUUCAAUCUGAGCUGCCAAGCCCAGGGACCCCCAGAGCCCGUGGACCUACUCUGGCUCCUGG
RNAcentral lists this small RNA (543 nucleotides) under Pan troglodytes (chimpanzee). RNAcentral describes it as "processed transcript". Lineage: Eukaryota; Metazoa; Chordata; Mammalia; Primates; Hominidae. The record is from RNAcentral.